AUAGGAUCAACGUUUUUCAUAUAUAUUUUUUAAAUUUUUAGUAUUAAUUUCCUAGAGAUAGGAUCUCGCUCUAUUGCCUAGGCUGGAGUGAAGUAGUGUGAACAUAGCUCACUUCAGCCUUCAACUCCUGAGUUCAAAGGAUCCUCCCACUCCCAGUCUCCCAAGUAGCUAGGACUACAAGUGUCAGGUGUGUAUUACCAUUCCUCAUGCCCGGCUAAUAUUUUCUUCUUGUUCUUCUUCUUUUUGUUUUGUUUUUUUUUGGUAGAGGUGAGGUCCUGCUUUGUUACUCACCCUGGUCUCAAACUCCUGAACUCAAGCCAUCUUCUCACCUCAGUUUCCACCUGAGCCUCUGAAAGCUCUGGGAUUACAGGAUAAUAACCCAACACCCACUGGAUGACAGGUGUGAAAAGAGCUGUAACACGCGUUUCUGCUGGGGAGCAACAGGAGUGAAAAAACCGCUGGACACCACAGGCCCCCGUUUGCUGAGCUAAGGGUGGCAGGAACAAACAAGAACUGUAACACUUCCUGGGGGCUCAGACCUCUGGACUCUCCAAGCAAAAGCUGUAACACUCCUUGGGGCUCUGCGUUUGCUGGCUUCUCCAUGUUUUCGGACGCCAUCGCAUCCCCCUCGUCUAGAUGUCGGCACCCAAGGAGGAAGCCAGUUGCGGCAUGGCUGGACCAGCUGCAGGCUGAGGGCAGAGCUGCAAUGGGCAUAGGAUCCAGGCCAGUAGUGUGAGCUGAGCGCAGCCUGCCGCCGAGUGGGUGGAACGAGCCCACUGGCGAUUUUCAGCUGGUGAAGUGGCACCGAAAGAAUCCUGUAUCAAAUGCACCCAAAUGGGAGUGGAGGGGGAAGGUGAAAUUGAUAGUUUUAGUAUUUUGAAUGCUUGGGGCACUUGCGUCUUAUGAAGCUUGCAAACCAGCCAAUAAGACAGAUGUAAAGUAAUAAUAAUGAUGUAGGCCGAAUGUUCUUGAUUUGGUUUGGCUCUAUGUCCCCACCCAAAUCUCAUGUCGAAUUGUAAUCCCCAAAUGUCAAGGGAGAGACCUAGUGGGAUGUGAUCGGAUCAUGGGGGCAGAUUUCCCCCUUGCUGUUCUUGUGAUAGUAUGUUCUCACGAGAUCUGGUUGUUUGAAAGUAUGUGGCAUUUCCCCCUUCACUAUCUUUCUCUUCUGCUCCACCAUAGACAGACAUACUUGCUUGCCCUUUACCUUCCACCAUGAUUGUAAGCCUCCUAGCCAUGAUUCCUGUACAGCCUGUGGAACUGUGAGUCAAUUAAACCUCUUUUCUUCAUAAAUCACCCAGUCUCAGGUAGAUCUUUAUAGCAGUGUGAGAACAGACUAAUACAGUUCUGAUAAUAAAUAAUAUACCUGAGAAAUAUACACUGAUUUAAUUUUACUUUAGCGAAAGGUAUUUAUGUAAAUAGAAAUAUAAUUGAAUGGAAAGAUGGAUAGAAACAGAUGAUAGAUAUGAAAUUAUAUUUUAGAUAUAUAAUUAUUCAAGUAUAAAAAAGAGUAUCUGAUAAGUUAAUAAAAAAUCUGCAUGUUAAAAUCAGUAAGCAUGAAUGCAAUAAACUCCAUUUGCUAUGAUUACAGUUCUUAUUGUCAGUAUGCAGGAAUUACCAACAACUUUAUAUUGUGCCUGCUACAAGUUCUCAAUAUUGGACAAAAUAAAUAAAAGCCAAAAUAUUUCUUUAAAAAGUUAACUGCAUCCAACAUUGCUAAACACUACAAAGCACCACCUUACAGGGGUAACAUUCAAGUUGAUUAAUAUAAUAUUUUCUCUCACAAGUGGAAUCAUGUCACUAUAACUCAAGGAUACUGAUGAAGAAGUAAUGGCCAAAGUGAAAUUUUUGACAACUGGCAAUAUAGCCAUAUCAUAUAGAUCAUUUCUGUUAUGUUUUGUCAAAGAACCUUAAAUUUUUUCCUAUCUAAACUUUCACCAACAUAAAUAAUAGAUCUCUUUCCAUAUUCUCUGCAAUAACAUUUGCAGUAAAUUUAAUUUAUAAUACUGCACCACGUAUCCAGUGCUGUACUGUCAUUGAGAUUAUUGAAAUGAUAGUUCUGCUAGAUAAUCUAUCAAUCCAAAUGGCAGAACUUGGACCAAUCUCGUCUAUAUUAAAAUUACCUUCCCUGUAAGAAACCUAUAAUUCUUUUCUUCUCUUUCACAACUUUGCCUCUGUUUUGAGUUUUAUGAAUAAUUGCAUUUCUACUGAUCAAAAACAAAUUCUAGUAUACUAGGUACACUGUCAUUGAUCACUAUAAGCACUAAUGUAUGAAUAAAAAUAUGUUUAUGUUUCAAGCUAAAACUGACAUCUCUGUAAUAAGAAAUCAUACACAAUCUAGCACAUUACCAUCCUUCUACCUGGGGAGGGAGAGAACUUGGGCUUUAUAAGAGUCAAGAUUUGAUCUAAUAAAAUAUUGAUGAGUGGCAUGCCUGUCAUUCUCUCAGUGUCCUACAUGCUUUCUCUCUUGUUAAUAUAAUACAUCGAAGGCAUUGCUAUCAAUUAGCGCAGUGUCACAGAAUGCGAAACCAGGACAAAAAUUCUCCAGCUGAAUAUCAUCCUGUUCACAGUAUUGAAUAGUACUGUGGGUACAGUUUGUCUAGGAUGGAUAAGGGUAAAAUAAUAUAGAACAUUUAAAAAUUAUUUUUAUUGUGAUUUAAAAUGGUUACUCGUUUCAACUCUGGAAACUAGUUUCACAGUUUUUUCCUCUAGAGGGGCAUUAGUUGGGUCGAUUCUUACUAAGUCCUUACUAAGCAAGAGAAAAACCAUGCACAGGAAUCUCCAAACUGGAACUUCUUUUCAGAAUAUUUUGGAACGCUAGUAGACCAAAACCUAAAAUAAAAAUGUAGCUGCAGCACUUAAGCAACUAACUUUGUGGACUAAACUUAUUGAUAUUCUAACUAAAUUAGUUGGUUAUUUGGUGUAACAUGAUCCUAGGAAUUGGAAAUUCGAAGUCAAGUCCUCAGUGUCCAUGUCCUUUAACUUCACUGAUACUUGAAAAGAUGGGGAGUCUUUCUUCAAAAUGGAGAGAAAGGUUAUUCCUUAUUCCUUGAGAAGGCAUUUGAAACAAAUAGAAAAAAUAAAUAAAUAAUUGACAAUGAAAACUGGCAGCAUCUUUCAAACAAUACCCUGGCUGAAAAUAUCAAUCAAUUAAAAACCUUGCAUUUUAAAAAUUGAAAAAGGAAAUCGUAGCGCACACUUAGUGGUGCCAUUUAUGAAAGUACAAGGAGAAAACCUCUUAGUGGUCUGGGUUCUGAUGUAAGCCUACUGAAUUUUGAGAGAAGAAACCCAAAGAUGAAUGCCAAUGAAAAGUAAUAGGUUCUCUCAGUUAUGUUUCAUAUUUAGACAGUAUCAACAACACCAAAAUAUUCAAACAGGUCAACUGGGUAGAAAAAUAAUUAGUUAUUUCCCAUUGACUAGAUAAGCAACUUGUUUAACUGCUUUUACUUCAUUUGGUAACCUGUUAGUAUUACAUAAUACAAACAUAGCUGUAUUUUAAAAAUAGUAAACCAAAGUUUUGUUACAGAAUAAGCCACAACAUAUAGCUGUGAGUGUUAGGGUUUUCAUAAAGAAAUGGAUUGCCAUUUUUUCCAGUUUAUUUCAAAGCAGCUGAUUCAGACAUUAGAGGAAUCAUUUAUAGAAGAAAGAUGCAUUAAUUCCUAUUAGGUAAAAGGCUGUCUCUGGCUAUGCAUAGGGUUAAAAAAAUAAUGCUCAAGAAAUGAGUCCAAUGAACUUUGUAUAUACUUACCUUUCAUUGUUUUUACACAAUUUGAAAGUAUUAAGCAAAUAAUUUACUAUCCCUGGGGGUGGGGGGAGGGAGAAAUAAAUCAGCCAGCCAAAGAUCUGAUUCUUGUUGUUUGUUUUGUUGUAAUUUAAUUGUAUUUUUCAAAUAGGUAGUUCAAUCAUAUGGUGCAAAGAGAAAACAAUAUUAAAAGACAGAAAUUAAGAAGUUCUCUUUUGUUCCUGUCAUUGUCCAAACCAUUCUUACCCACAAAGCCCUGUCACUUUAAUUAGUUUCUAGUAUAGCCUCCCAGUAUUUCUGCAUAUAGAUAAAGAAUAUAUAACAUGACUAGACACACAGAAUAUAUAAGUAUAUAUUCUUAUGUGUAAAAUUAUUUUCUUUUAAGAAUUUUAAAAUUACCUUUUAAGAAUAAGAAUAUAAAUAUUUUUAUUUUAAAAACUGACAGACGUAAAAUUUACUUUUUUUGUGGUACAGUUCUAUGAGUUCUAACAGAGUAUAGAUUUGUAGAACUACCUCCACACUCGGAAGAAAGAUGAGUUCCAUCAUUCCCCAAAUCUCCCAUGGUACUUCUCUGUGAUUAUGCCCUCUCUCCAUCCCAAACCCCUGGCAGCCAUUCAUCUGUUCUCUCUUGUUAAAGUUUUAUCUUUUUAAGUAUGCCAUAUAAAUGGAAUUACACACACACACACACACACACACACACACACACAUAUGUAAUCUUUUAUGAUUGGCUGCUGUUGCUUAACAUAAUGUAUUUAAGAUGCAUCUAAAUUUAUGUAUCUCAUCAGCAACUUGUGGGAGCACCUGUUCCUCCAAAGUGUCACUAAAAAAGCAUUUUGUCAAACUUGGCUCUUUCGUUCCUUCUAGUUGUUUAGAGUUAUCUGUAAGACACUAGAAAACAAUCAUUCUGGGUAAACACAAUUCCUUGUUUUUCAUUCUAAUUUGAUAAAGAAUACAUACACACAAAGUGUUAGGUUGUCAUAAGACAAGGCAAGAACUCUGGUGCUUAAUCACUCAACGUGGACCACUUUGUCUAGAAAAUUGCUUUAAAAGACCAAAAAAAUGUUUCAAACAGUAAUAUGAAUAUGGUUUAUAAAGUGUGUCUGAUCUCAUUUUAUGAAUUUAACACCUUCACCUGUUUUAUGCAUCCAUUCCUUUCCCAAUGUUUUAUUUUAUUGAAUAUGUACACGUUCUUUUUAAACACAAAACCAAAAGCAUUUUCUCCCAAAUAUUAUGGACAUUUCAACAGAAUUAUAUUUGUUUACUUGACUUUUUAUUGAAUUACUUUGCUAACUAUCUUCAUUUCCCAUUUUAGUUUGCCAAAAUAAAGCAAAAGUUCUUAGGAGGAAAGUUUCAACUGAGACUAUUUUUUCUAACACAGGGACUUCUAAAUGUGGUCUUAGUUUAAGUCCUGGGACUCAUAGUUAUUGCAACAACUAUAUCCAAUAUUUAACAUUUAAUUUUUCUCAUUAACCUUGAAACUUAUUACUAAUUCUUCAGUUACUCUCUCAUAUUCAUCUUAAUCAUAGAAAGUUUGUUGUCAUUUCCUAUCAUAUUUUAAUUCAUUAUUUAUGAAAAGAGUAAUUUCAAUUUGCCUUUAAGCAUUAACUCUGGAUUUUUCAGGAUUUUCUAUUUCUUUUAAGUGUUGGUUCUGUAGUUGAAAUGACUAUUUAAGGGCCACUAUUCUCUUAUAAACAUAUAUUUUGGGGGCUUUUAGAAACAAAUUAUGUAAAAAUAUAAUUAUGGGCCUUAUAUGAGAGUUAAAGACAACUAUUUAUUUUUGACCUGUGCUACUAUGUGGGAAAAAUCAUACUUUUUAAAUGAAAUGAGAAUAACAUACCCAGUAUUAGAAAAAUGUUUAAGGCUAACUCCAAUUAUAGUAUCAAAAUAUAAUCAACGUAAUAACUCUAAUUACAAUAAAUUAUUUAAAAACAGGUAUAAAUCAGACCAAUUUUUAUGUGAGCUUUAAAUAGUCUGAAAUAGUUUUAUUGCAAUUAAACCUCAUGAAUCAUGCAAGUUUCUAGUCAAAUAAAAUUAUUUUAUUUGCCUACUAUUGCUAAUUUUAUACUUUAGCACAACUUGAAGGUCAUAGCAAAAAUAUAUACACUAAGAAAAACCUCUCAAUUUGUUUGUAAUUGUCCAGUUUAUUCUGUUUCCUUAUUACAAAUUUAUUUUUGUGAUAUUCUAAUAUAGGUUUGUCCUGGGUUUAUGUAGAUGAGUUAUAAAAAUAAAAAUAAUUUCUGACUCAAUUAUUAUAAGCAAUGAAUAUGUACAGGUAACAAUUACUUCUUUUAGCAAUUUUUAAAGGGGUUAUACUACACAUAAGCGCUUCAUAUGUUCAGUGUUGAAUGGUAUGUUUUCAGUGGAACUUUGAUAAAAUUGAUUGUAUCCCGAG
RNAcentral lists this long non-coding RNA (6131 nucleotides) under Homo sapiens (human). Its description in RNAcentral is "HSALNT0139058". Lineage: Eukaryota; Metazoa; Chordata; Mammalia; Primates; Hominidae. The record is from RNAcentral.